UACAGAGGUCUCGAGCGUUAGGCGGAAUCACUGGGCUUAAAGCGUGUGUAGGCGGCGGGCUAAGUACCUUGUGAAAUCCCACGGCUUAACUGUGGAACUGCUGGGUAUACUGGUUCGCUUGAGCGGUCUAGGGGCGAGCGGAACAAAUGGUGGAGCGGUGAAAUGCGUAGAUAUCGGGCGGAACACCAGCGGCGAAGGCGGCAUCCUGGCCCGUACCUGACGCUGAGGCGCGAGAGCGUGGGGAGCAAACCGG
This 253-nucleotide ribosomal RNA is filed under the name uncultured bacterium. Its description in RNAcentral is "partial 16S ribosomal RNA". It matches the Rfam family "Bacterial small subunit ribosomal RNA", at positions 524 to 776 of the family's 1533-position model. The record is from RNAcentral.